Molecule: ribosomal RNA, 815 nt
Filed under: uncultured bacterium
Lineage: Bacteria
Description: bacterial SSU rRNA
Rfam family: Bacterial small subunit ribosomal RNA
Source: RNAcentral
AGAGUUUGAUCAUGGCUCAGAACGAACGCUGGCGGCGUGGAUAAGACAUGCAAGUCGAGCGCUGAUUUCGAGGUAGCAAUAUUUCGGAGUCGGAGCGGCGCAAGGGUGCGUAACACGUGGGUAAUCUGCCAUGAAGUUUGGGAUAACUUGCUGAAAGGCGAGCUAAUACCGGAUGUGAAAGCCGGGAGACAUCUCCUGGUUUUUAAAGUUGGGGACCGUAAGGCCUGACGCUUCAUGAUGAACCCGCGGCCUAUCAGCUAGUUGGUGAGGUAACGGCUCACCAAGGCUAAGACGGGUAGCUGGUCUGAGAGGACGACCAGCCACACUGGAACUGAGACACGGUCCAGACACCUACGGGUGGCAGCAGUCGAGAAUUUUUCACAAUGGGCGAAAGCCUGAUGGAGCGACGCCGCGUGGGGGAUGAAUGGCUUCGGCCCGUAAACCCCUGUCAUUUGCGAGCAAUUCGCAUUAUUUAAAAGAUGAUGCGUUGAUAGUAGCGAAAGAGGAAGGGACGGCUAACUCUGUGCCAGCAGCCGCGGUAAUACAGAGGUCCCAAGCGUUGUUCGGAUUCACUGGGCGUAAAGGGUGCGUAGGUGGCCAGGUAAGUCGGAUGUGAAAUCUCGGAGCUCAACUCCGAAACUGCAUUGGAAACUGCCUGGCUCGAGGGUUGGAGGGGGGACUGGAAUUCUCGGUGUAGCAGUGAAAUGCGUAGAUAUCGAGAGGAACACCAGUGGCGAAGGCGAGUCCCUGGACAACCCCUGACACUGAGGCACGAAAGCUAGGGGAGCAAACAGGAUUAGAUACCCUAGUAGUCC